GCCAGCAUAGUUUAACGGUUAGAACAUGGGUCUCAUAUAUACAUGAUCAAGCCUAGCUUGUGUCAACCCAUAUGAAGGCCAUCCCAAGAUCUGAGUUCGAUUCUCAGUGCCGGCA
Molecule: non-coding RNA, 115 nt
Organism: Zasmidium cellare ATCC 36951
Lineage: Eukaryota; Fungi; Ascomycota; Dothideomycetes; Mycosphaerellales; Mycosphaerellaceae
Source: the annotation of a RefSeq genome assembly